UGAAACUGCCAAGCAGCCGAAGUUUUUCCUGCAUAGACGCUGACACACUGGGCUCAAAGAGACUGCGCUCAUCUACAAAAAGAGGUGCGACACUGCCAUCUAUUGGCGCAGUGGUUGGCGUGGGGAACUGCACAGAGAAAAGAGGACUUCACUGUGGUUAUGCUGAGACUGACAAUCGUUUUCACCCGCCACUGCUGUGCUGUAAGCUGUGUUGCAGGUAAUAUGUUGUGCAUUUUGUCAUGUUACUUAUUGUAUAUUUUGUCUGUGUGAGCUAAAAGGUGUAUUUUAGUGUAUUUACCUCAUGGUAAAUGUUGAAAGUGUUUUGAAAAUCAAUUUUAUGUCACACAAUGAAUUAUGCAGGUUUUUUUUUACUUGAUUGUGGAAUAACAAUAUACACUAUACAUUAACACUAGGAUGUAAUUUUUGCUUCUAUUUUAUAUGAAAAGAUUUGUGUAUUUCAUUUCAUUGUUUACUGAACUGCACAGAGAAAAGGGGACUUCACUGUGAUUGUCCUGAGACUGAUGAUCAUUUUCACACGCCAUUGCUGUGCUGUAUGCUGUGUUGCAGGAGGGAGCUGUGUAUAAUAAACACCCCGUAAUCCACCUGGUCUUCAUCUGUGGUCUGCAGAAGCGACAGUAGUGUGGCGCUGCAUUUCACUGAUGGCUGUGACCUGUCACACACACACACACACACACACAAAAAAAACAUACUGAACAGGAUCACCUAUUAGACAGUUUUUAUUAGCUCUCACUACAGGACAUGGAAGUGACUGAUGUUGUUUUAUGCCUAAACAAACUCCAUAUUGAAAUAUUUAUUGUAAAUAUUAUAUAUUUAUAUAAAUAUUGAAAAUUUACUUUGUUUACAUUUGGCGGACCCUGCCAUCUUUCUAGCAUCGGUUAGUGUUCUGUGACCUUAUUUUCUUUCAAGAAACAGCUUGUUGAUUCAGUUUACAUUUCUUCUCCAAAACAACAUGGUGCCCCUUUAAGAAGCUGGAGCUUUUUUCAGCCAUUGGACUGGAAUCCAGGAGGAACCCCUCUUUAGAACGACAGAGUGACUUGUUUAUUUGAGGGAAUAGGUGAGGCUAAAUGAUCUACAGCAGACUCUGUAUUCGACAUUCCUGCUGGUUAUUGUUUGUUGUUUUCCUGGUGAGUGUGGUGACAAGCAGAGAGCAAUCAU
Acanthopagrus latus (yellowfin seabream) is the source of this 1176-nucleotide long non-coding RNA. RefSeq lists it as uncharacterized. The transcript has 2 exons. The record is from RefSeq and is a predicted model, not a curated record. Lineage: Eukaryota; Metazoa; Chordata; Actinopteri; Spariformes; Sparidae.